UUUACCUAAAGGCUACAAUCACCUGGGGCUGCUAAGCGGCUUAAGCAAGGAAGGAGUCGCUCAGGUUGCCUAAGCUAAGUGUAACAUCUACCAUCACAUUAAACAUACUCAAGACCUCCUCAUCAGUACAAGAGCUAAUAGAGUUUGUGUUCUUUCUCUCCCUUAGACUUGACCAUCAAUAUAAGCUUCUAGUUCUGACUGGGGGGAAAGGAAACAAAGAAAAAAGACAACCAAGGCUGGUGCACAAAGGAGCAAGUUACCGUGUCUAGUUCAGCUUCCAAACUGCAGUUUUUAAUCUGUGGCAAUAAUUCCGCAUACUGGCUUUGAUCUGUUGUUAUACUACUGUGCAUACCUGAAAACAAUUGACAUCAGGAAAAAAGAAAAGGAUUUCUGCUUGUUCAAUCUUUUCACCAGUAUUUUCUACCACCAGACUGAAGGUGGCAUGUCAGGAAUGACCCGUGAGUACAGAUCAGAGCACCUGCAUCUCUAUCUACUUCAACUGAGCCUGCAAUCUGAUACUCAGAUUUGUGCCUACAACUGAAAGGUGGGCAAAACUAUUGAUUGGACAUACGUUUUUAGGUUGUAAAUUGUAUCUGCAAAAAGGAUGUCUCCAAAAUUUGGCGCUCAGUAUUUGUGCUUUCCAAAGUUCUUGUUUGUCUGCUAUCUUGAUAAUCUGUUUGGAUAUUUCCUGGGAUGAUGUACUAUGAGAGUGGUACACUCUCCUUGACACUGGAGAGUCUGUGGAAUUUCCAGCUAUUGUAUAACCUUUUUUCAAGCAGUGAUAGUUGUACUAUGCCUUUGUGUCAUAGGGAGAUGGUGGGAUUUUCCUUCUCAUGCUUACUCUUUUAUAAUAGAGGGUGGGGGGCAAGCCAGAGGAUUUCUUUGAAUGAAAAUGUGGCUGUCCCCAAAUGAUUUUCAUUUCAUUUUCAUUUAAUCUCAUCUCAGAAGUAAGCCUUUUAUUGAGAACUCCUGUUUUAAUUUUUGAUGGGGGGAAAAGGACUGGAAAGUGUCUCUUUCUGAACCAUUUUUUCUAUCUCCUUCCUCUGAAGCAUCAGGAAAUGGCCCAAGCUGAAGACAGGACAUUGG
Molecule: long non-coding RNA, 1086 nt
Organism: Dermochelys coriacea (leatherback sea turtle)
Lineage: Eukaryota; Metazoa; Chordata; Testudines; Dermochelyidae
Exons: 3
Source: RefSeq, a predicted model, not a curated record